GCCCGAGGACACCGUGCAGAACCGGGUGUCACUUGAGAAGGUGCUUGGCAUCACAGCCCAGAAUAGCAGUGGUCUAACCUGUGACCCUGGCACAGGCCAUGUGGCCUACCUUGCAGGGUAAGUACAUGAUGGGCUUGACAUCUCAUCAUUGCAAGGG
This 157-nucleotide long non-coding RNA is filed under the name Ictidomys tridecemlineatus (thirteen-lined ground squirrel). Its description in RNAcentral is "lncRNA (ENSSTOG00000031684.1)". Lineage: Eukaryota; Metazoa; Chordata; Mammalia; Rodentia; Sciuridae. The record is from RNAcentral.